Molecule: small nuclear RNA, 104 nt
Organism: Sapajus apella (tufted capuchin)
Lineage: Eukaryota; Metazoa; Chordata; Mammalia; Primates; Cebidae
Source: RefSeq, a predicted model, not a curated record
GUGCUUGCUUUGGCAGCACAUAAACUAAAAUGGAAAUGAUACAAAGAUUAGCAUGGCCGCUGCACUAGGAUGACACGUAAACUUGUGAAGCAUUCCAUAUUAUA